Molecule: ribosomal RNA, 398 nt
Filed under: uncultured bacterium
Lineage: Bacteria
Description: partial 16S ribosomal RNA
Rfam family: Bacterial small subunit ribosomal RNA
Source: RNAcentral
GAAUUUUGCGCAAUGGGGGCAACCCUGACGCAGCAACGCCGCGUGCGGGACGAAGGCCUUCGGGUUGUAAACCGCUUUCCGCGGGGACGAUUAUGACGGUCCCCGCAGAAGCAGCUCCGGCUAACUACGUGCCAGCAGCCGCGGUAAUACGUCGGGAGCGAGCGUUAUCCGGAUUCAUUGGGCGUAAAGCGCGCGGAGGCGGCCGCGCAAGCGGAACCUCUAAUCCCGGGGCUCAACCCCGCGGCCGGGUUCCGGACUGCGCGGCUCGAGUGCGGUAGGGGCAGGCGGAAUUCCAUGUGUAGCGGUGAAAUGCGCAGAUAUAUGGAAGAACACCGAUGGCGAAGGCAGCCUGCUGGGCCGUCACUGACGCUGAGGCGCGAAAGCCGGGGGAGCGAACA